Molecule: microRNA, 23 nt
Filed under: Mus musculus (house mouse)
Lineage: Eukaryota; Metazoa; Chordata; Mammalia; Rodentia; Muridae
Description: mmu-miR-871-3p
Gene: mmu-miR-871-3p
Source: miRBase by way of RNAcentral
UGACUGGCACCAUUCUGGAUAAU